GCGACCAACUACGGAGGCCCGCGGGGGACAUGGGAGAAAAAAAAAUUAAGACGGAGAUUAGAGCUAACGGGAAGAAUGCGGCUAAAACUUUUGCGAGAUCUCUCAAAAGUUUUGCAAGAUCCCGAGUUUGUUUUGCGAGAUCUCGCAAAAGUCCGUCUUAAUUUUUUUUCUCCCAUGUCCCCUGCGGGGCUCUGUAACCAACUGUUCAGGUAGCAAAAAAAAAAAAAAAAAAAAUCUGCAACCUUCCCUGUGGUCAACAACAGACACACAUUAUGCCCCUAUCGUGGACUAAACCAAUCAGAGAUAGUAAGGGGCGGGACCUCUCUGAUUGGCCGUGGUCCAGUUGAAAGUGCAGGUGGAAGUGGGAGGUGAGUAGCUUGAAUAAAGCGAUAUCAAUUCAUUAAAUCCUGAAUCGACUUUUAAAUAUAACUGUGUUUUGCCAGAAACGUCAGAUUAAAGCUCACAAAACCAUUUCAACAACAACCAAACAGCAAAUGAGAGCAGGUACACGGAUUCCACACAAAGACGUAAACACAGAACGGACUGACGCAUCAGAAUCAACUGAGGGCGAUCGUGGCUCAAGAGUUGGGAGUUCGCCUGGUAAUUGGAAGGUUGCCGGUUCGAGCCCCUGCUUGGACAGUCUCGGUUGUUGUGUCCUUGGGCAAGACACUUCUCCCGUUGCCUACUGGUGGUGGUCAGAGGGCCCGGUGGCGCCAGUGUCCGGCAGCCUCGCCUCUGUCAGUGCGCCCCAGGGUGGCUGUGGCUACAAUGUAGCUGCCAUCACCAGUGUGUGAAUGGGUGGAUGACUGGAUGUGUAAAGCGCUUUGGGUUCCUUAGGGACUAGUAAAGCGCUAUAUAAAUACAGGCCAUUUACCAUUGGCUUUCUCACCCGACGGCCCGUACACGGACACGCUGUUUGAGCUUAGCGGUUCUGAUGCGUCCGGUCCGCGCUGUGAUUACGUCUUUUUGCGCUGAUUCUGAGCUGCAGGCUUUGUCUCUCUCCAACCAAAAUUCACGAGCCAGCAGCAAAAGAAGCAGCAAACUGCGCUUCACAUUUAAUCAAUGUCGUCAUGAAUUUUGCUGUUUUGCUUCCUGUUAAAAUCACACUUCAUGCACAGCUAGCUCUCUCUCUGUACUUCAAGAACAGUUUCCCGUCUCCAAUCGCUGUUUUCUGUAUUAUUCAUUCGCUUAUUACCCACCAGUCUACCGUUGUUUACAGCGCUGUCGGCUGCUGUCUUUUUCUUUUCUUUUUCUUUUUUUCACUUAAAUGACCUCGGACAAGAAAGCCUAUUUUUUUCUGUUGUUCAAUACUGAAGAAAUUUAAACUUUAUAUGCAGAACAUUGUAGAAUAUUUUUAAGGUUAUGUGCUAUAAAAAGCCAGACCAGGAAAAUCUCCUUCAUGUUUUUCUGUGUUUUAUUCUCAGUUACUUUCACACAAAGGCAUCUGCUGUGAUGUUCACAAUUCUGAUGAAGUCAGUACUGAUAAAUGAUCAGAAUUAUAAUAUUUCUGACUGUCUGAGGCUAAGUUGAAUCGAAUCGAGACUUUGAAAACC
Molecule: long non-coding RNA, 1553 nt
Organism: Astatotilapia calliptera (eastern happy)
Lineage: Eukaryota; Metazoa; Chordata; Actinopteri; Cichliformes; Cichlidae
Source: Ensembl